Peromyscus maniculatus bairdii (prairie deer mouse) is the source of this 1406-nucleotide long non-coding RNA. RefSeq lists it as uncharacterized. The record is from RefSeq and is a predicted model, not a curated record. Lineage: Eukaryota; Metazoa; Chordata; Mammalia; Rodentia; Cricetidae.
GCAGUGGCACACACCUUUAAUCCCAGCACUAGGGAAGUGGAGACAGGAAGCAAUAUGGCUGGGCAGAAAGAGGAAUAUAAAGCAGGAGGAGACAGAAGCUGAGAGCCCUUUUGGACUUAGGAUUCAGUAGAGGUAUGCUGAAAGAGUUAUGGGACCAUAAAGGCCUCUACCAAGAUUACAGAAGAAAGCCUAGGAGGCCAUUAAAUGUGUAACAGUGUUGGUAUCCCCAUGGGCAGUCCCUAAAAGAAUGGUAUGUGAAGCUGUGACAGAAAAGGGGAAGAUGUAAUAGAGACCACAGGAGAUAAAAGAUGACUAGGAACAUGAAACCUCUGCCAAAGAAAGGAGCAGGCAGGUAGGAGCAGCCAGCCCAAGAGAAGGGUCUGGAAGGUAGCAAUGCCAAAGGGACAGGGUUACCCGCCUCUGAUCUUAUAUCACAAAAGCACAUGCCCACGGUGCCAGAAAGAGGCUACAGGAUUUAAGGUUCAUCCUUUUGCUACUGUCUUGUCCUCCCUUUUGGAAUGGGAUGGUACUGUGUACCAGUGCAGUUUGGAGGAAACAGAUCAGUGGAGUGUAUCCUCGGGGACUGCAUCUUAUCCCUGCACCUCACCUACCUCCCAAUCCCCCACAAGGUGGGCUGCUUUGUUUUCUUUCCCAUUGACACCCUACCAUGAUAUUCUACCUCACCACAGGCCAAAAACAAUGGAGCCAAUAGUUAUAGAUUGAAAUCUCUGAACCCACAAGCUAAAAUAAGCCCUUCUUCCCUUCAAAGCUGUUAGAACUAUUCUAGGUCCUUGGCAUUUCCAUAGUAAUUUUAUAAUAGGUUUGUCAAAAAACAAUAGGUUUUUUUUCUAUAAAAAUUUGUCUGGGAUUUUGAAUGAGAUUACAAUGAAGACACAGACCAGUUGGAGCUGACUUAACAUCCUAGAACAGAGUCCAUGCACAGCUAUUCUCCCACUUCCUUGUGCUAUUCAUGUUCUAUGAUUGUGAUUAUCUUCCCGCUAAACAUUGUGAUAUUGAUCACUUUCCUCAAGUCUACUAGACUCCAUAAUACUCAUCCCUACAAGAAUGAGUGUACAGAGCCCCCUGGCAGAAGGAUCUGGAUCCAUCCCUGGUGCAUGAGCAGGUUUUUUGGAGCCCACUACCUGUGAUGGGACACCUUGCACUGCCUUGAGACAGAGAACUACAGACAACGAAAGAAUGCUGAGAAUGGGAAAGCCGAGGUCUCGCCCGGGAAGAGCUCAUCAAGUGGCCGUCCAGUACACACAUACACGGAAAGGGAGGUUCUAUGGACCGAGCAGGUGGUGGUUCAUUUCAGGAACGAACACAUACACAAGUGUGUAUGUAACAAUUAAAGAAAAAGAGGCCAUGAAAUGAAGAGAGCAAGGAGGUUAUAUGGAAAGGCUUAA